RNAcentral lists this transfer RNA (61 nucleotides) under Fukomys damarensis (Damara mole-rat). It matches the Rfam family "tRNA", at positions 6 to 65 of the family's 71-position model. From Rfam's summary of the family: Transfer RNA (tRNA) molecules are approximately 80 nucleotides in length. Their secondary structure includes four short double-helical elements and three loops (D, anti-codon, and T loops). Lineage: Eukaryota; Metazoa; Chordata; Mammalia; Rodentia; Bathyergidae. The record is from Rfam by way of RNAcentral.
UUUAGCUCAGUGUCACAGCACCUGCCUGGCAAGCACAAGGUCCUGAGUUCAAUCCUCAGAA